AAUGAACGCUGGCGGCGUGCCUAAUACAUGCAAGUCGAGCGAACAGACGAGGAGCUUGCUCCUCUGCCGUUAGCGACGGACGGGUGAGUAACACGUGGAUAACCUACCUAUAAGACUGGGAUAACUUCGGGAAACCGGAGCUAAUACCGGAUAAUAUAUUGAACCGCAUGGAUCAAUAGUGAAAGACGGUUUUGCUGUCACUAAUAGAUGGUUCCGCGCCGCAUUAGCUAGUUGGUAAGGUAACGGCUUACCAAGGCAACGAUGCGUAGCCGACCUGAGAGGGUGAUCGGCCACACUGGAACUGAGACACGGUCCAGACUCCUACGGGAGGCAGCAGUAGGGAAUCUUCCGCAAUGGGCGAAAGCCUGACGGAGCAACGCCGCGUGAGUGAAGAAGGUCUUCGGAUCGUAAAGCUCUGUUAUUAGGGAAGAACAAAUGUGUAAGUAACUAUGCACGUCUUGACGGUACCUAAUCAGAAAGCCACGGCUAACUACGUG
This 497-nucleotide ribosomal RNA is filed under the name uncultured bacterium. RNAcentral's name for it is "partial 16S ribosomal RNA". It matches the Rfam family "Bacterial small subunit ribosomal RNA", at positions 29 to 507 of the family's 1533-position model. The record is from RNAcentral.